CAUAGAGGAACACGUGUUUCAUUUCCAGCUAUAUGUAUGCUUGUUUCAACGUUUCACCGGAUUGCUCGUUAAAACGAAAUUAUCACCACGCAAAUGCGUCUAAACAAUCUUGUUCUUGACAAGCUAUUCAGUUCAUAUGCAUUUCCAUCGCGAUGAUUGCGUGUCUCUUCAAUCGAAAUGGAAUAUAGUGGUCGCUCGUAAAAUCCGAUACAUUGUGCGGCCAGCCGUGGCGUAUUCGUCAUGUCGAGACACACCGAAGACACGCAAUCGACGAAACGAAAGGAUUGACCCCGCGCUACGUCCACGACCUCCACUUCCUUCGUCCUGAACCACCCCAGCCCCCUGGUGUUCCACGAAGCAUCGAUUC
This is a long non-coding RNA of Eufriesea mexicana, 367 nucleotides long. RefSeq lists it as uncharacterized. The transcript has 3 exons. The record is from RefSeq and is a predicted model, not a curated record. Lineage: Eukaryota; Metazoa; Arthropoda; Insecta; Hymenoptera; Apidae.